Dendroctonus ponderosae (mountain pine beetle) is the source of this 837-nucleotide long non-coding RNA. RefSeq lists it as uncharacterized. The record is from RefSeq and is a predicted model, not a curated record. Lineage: Eukaryota; Metazoa; Arthropoda; Insecta; Coleoptera; Curculionidae. The transcript is spliced from 2 exons.
UUUAGAAGUAAAAUUUAAACUCUGUAGCCCAAUUCUCUUUCUAUUGCGAUGGAAUUGCUGAACUUUAACCUAAAAAUGAUACAGUUAAAUCGAUAUAUACCCGAGAAGCUACGCUAAAGAUACUGCCUAAACUAUUUGAGAUGGUACAAAACAUAUACCACACCAAUACGUUUUCUUUACACGUAGAUCAAACACGUUGGAGGCAAAAUCGGAAAAUCAAAAAAUUCCGUUGAAAAAGGUUUAAAGUUUGGCUUCAAAACCCUGACCUAUUGCAACAACGCCGGAUGCUUUACAAUAGAUAAGACUGAUGACGUCACCCUAAUGGUGCGAAUUAGAACUUCUAGAGGCAAUAUUCCUGUUUGUGCUGCCACAUUUCAACAUAUACCAGAUAACUGGUGCAGACUGUCGGGUAUUUCAAACAAAUUUAUCGCCGUAGAACUAUUAGUUGAAAAGCGGGGAGGUCGUGUACCGAGUCAGAUUGAUAAGGAUAUUUCUGACGCAAUAAAGACACGCAUAAGCAGCUACAAAUGCAGAGAAAAUCACUAUUCGCGUGAAAAAUGCAGAAGAACAUACAUUUAAACAUACGUUAAACAUAGUUAAACAUACAGAAAAUGUAGCAAAUAUUUUGUGAUACAACAAACUUUAAAUGUUCUUUGGCUAAAUACAAGAAGAUUUUUUAUCAAAAUUUUAACCUUGGGUUUGGAAAUCCACAGUCAGAUACAUGUUUCAUUUGUAAGGAGUUUCUGGUAAAUAUAAAAAAUAUCAAGAUGUUGGAAAAACGUAAUGAACUGCUCACCAAGUACAGACUUCAUAGGAUGAGAGCAGAGGCCUUUUUCA